CAGCAGCCGCGGUAAGGCGAACCGUGCGAACGUUAUUCGGAAUCACUGGGCUUAGAGCGCGUGUAGGCGGAUGGGAGCGCCGGCCUCUGAAAUCCCCCGGCUCAACCGGGGAAGUGGAGCCGAAACGACCCGUCUGGAGGGACGUAGGGGGACCUGGAACUUCCGGCGGAGCGGUGAAAUGCGUUGAGAUCGGAAGGAACGCCCGUGGCGAAAGCGAGGUCCUGGACGUCUGCUGACGCUGAGACGCGAAAGCCAGGGGAGCGAACGGGAUUAGAUACCCCCGUAGUCCCUGUCUCUUAUA
Molecule: ribosomal RNA, 301 nt
Filed under: uncultured bacterium
Lineage: Bacteria
Description: partial 16S ribosomal RNA
Rfam family: Bacterial small subunit ribosomal RNA
Source: RNAcentral